CUACGGGAGGCAGCAGUGGGGAAUAUUGCACAAUGGAGGAAACUCUGAUGCAGCAACGCCGCGUGGAGGAUGACACUUUUCGGAGCGUAAACUCCUUUUAUAUAGGAAGAAGAUGACGGUACUAUAUGAAUAAGCGCCGGCUAACUCCGUGCCAGCAGCCGCGGUAAUACGGAGGGCGCAAGCGUUACUCGGAAUCACUGGGCGUAAAGAGCGUGUAGGCGGAUUAAAAAGUCAGAAGUGAAAUCCUAUAGCUUAACUAUAGAACUGCUUCUGAAACUCUUAAUCUAGAAUAUGGGAGAGGUAGAUGGAAUUUCUGGUGUAGGGGUAAUAGCCGUAGAGAUAAGAAGGAAUACCGAUUGCGAAGGCGAUCUACUAGAACAUUACUGACGCUGAGACGCGAAAGCGUGGGGAGCAAACAGGAUUAGAUACCCCAGUAGUC
This 439-nucleotide ribosomal RNA is filed under the name uncultured bacterium. RNAcentral describes it as "partial 16S ribosomal RNA". It matches the Rfam family "Bacterial small subunit ribosomal RNA", at positions 339 to 795 of the family's 1533-position model. The record is from RNAcentral.